UUGAUCCAGAGAUUUCCGAAUGGGGAAACCCAGCAUGAGUUAUGUCAUGUUAUCGAUAUGUGAAUACAUAGCAUAUCAGAAGGCACACCCGGAGAACUGAAACAUCUUAGUACCCGGAGGAAGAGAAAGAAAAUUCGACUCCCUUAGUAGCGGCGAGCGAAAUGGGAAGAGCCCAAACCAACAAGCUUGCUUGUUGGGGUUGUAGGACACUCUAUACGGAGUUACAAAGGACGACAUUAGACGAAUCAUCUGGAAAGAUGAAUCAAAGAAGGUAAUAAUCCUGUAGUCGAAAAUGUUGUCUCUCUUGAGUGGAUCCUGAGUACGACGGAGCACGUGAAAUUCCGUCGGAAUCUGGGAGGACCAUCUCCUAAGGCUAAAUACUCUCUAGUGACCGAUAGUGAACCAGUACCGUGAGGGAAAGGUGAAAAGCACCCCGGAAGGGGAGUGAAAUAGAACCUGAAACCGUGUGCUUACAAGUAGUCAGAGCCCGUUAAUGGGUGAUGGCGUGCCUUUUGUAGAAUGAACCGGCGAGUUACGAUUUGAUGCAAGGUUAAGCAGUAAAUGUGGAGCCGUAGCGAAAGCGAGUCUGAAUAGGGCGUUUAGUAUUUGGUCGUAGACCCGAAACCAGGUGAUCUACCCUUGGUCAGGUUGAAGUUCAGGUAACACUGAAUGGAGGACCGAACCGACUUACGUUGAAAAGUGAGCGGAUGAACUGAGGGUAGCGGAGAAAUUCCAAUCGAACCUGGAGAUAGCUGGUUCUCUCCGAAAUAGCUUUAGGGCUAGCCUCAAGUGAUGAUUAUUGGAGGUAGAGCACUGUUUGGACGAGGGGCCCCUCUCGGGUUACCGAAUUCAGACAAACUCCGAAUGCCAAUUAAUUUAACUUGGGAGUCAGAACAUGGGUGAUAAGGUCCGUGUUCGAAAGGGAAACAGCCCAGACCACCAGCUAAGGUCCCAAAAUAUAUGUUAAGUGGAAAAGGAUGUGGCGUUGCCCAGACAACUAGGAUGUUGGCUUAGAAGCAGCCAUCAUUUAAAGAGUGCGUAAUAGCUCACUAGUCGAGUGACACUGCGCCGAAAAUGUACCGGGGCUAAACAUAUUACCGAAGCUGUGGAUUGUCCUUUGGACAAUGGUAGGAGAGCGUUCUAAGGGCGUUGAAGCAUGAUCGUAAGGACAUGUGGAGCGCUUAGAAGUGAGAAUGCCGGUGUGAGUAGCGAAAGACGGGUGAGAAUCCCGUCCACCGAUUGACUAAGGUUUCCAGAGGAAGGCUCGUCCGCUCUGGGUUAGUCGGGUCCUAAGCUGAGGCCGACAGGCGUAGGCGAUGGAUAACAGGUUGAUAUUCCUGUACCACCUAUAAUCGUUUUA
This 1360-nucleotide ribosomal RNA is filed under the name Staphylococcus aureus. Its description in RNAcentral is "partial 23S ribosomal RNA". It matches the Rfam family "Bacterial large subunit ribosomal RNA", at positions 99 to 1461 of the family's 2925-position model. The record is from RNAcentral. Lineage: Bacteria; Bacillati; Bacillota; Bacilli; Caryophanales; Staphylococcaceae.